Long non-coding RNA from Sebastes umbrosus (honeycomb rockfish), 576 nucleotides. RefSeq lists it as uncharacterized. The transcript is spliced from 3 exons. The record is from RefSeq and is a predicted model, not a curated record. NCBI's taxonomy places the organism in Eukaryota, Metazoa, Chordata, Actinopteri, Perciformes, Sebastidae.
GCUGUUGCAGGUCGAUCCUGGACACACAGAGACGAAGCUGCUGUCAAACAUCAUCCGACUCACGUUGGACAGAUUCCUCCAGCUUCAUGGUAACCGGCACAAUGAAGUGAUUGUUGCCACGGAGACGCUGGCUUGUCCUCCUUUUCAUUAGCGUCUUCAAAAGGGGGGGAACUAAUCCGUCUCCAGUGUGUUGUUGCAUCAGUCCAGCAGCCCGGCUGGCGCCCACUCUGAACCUCCCAUCCCAGGAGUGUCGACAUCAAAGCAGCCGCUGGUGUCAAGACGGCGUUAACAACAUCUGUAUUCUCCUGGCUCUAAGGAAAGAGGCCCUCUGUAAACACGAGCAUAAAUAACCCUGACGCUACCGCACCAGACUGUAACGGGCGUAAUCAAAGUGGUUCUGCUCUGAAACGCCCGUUCUGGAGGCUGAAACCACGAGACAGUUGGCAGAGUGUUUCCAUGAUGACGUUUCCUUGGGUUUGGCCGCGUGUGGUUUGUGUGUGGGAGUCCGUAACAAUCAGAACCAGCUCUCUGCAGCAGUGUAGAUCACUUUAAAUGGUCAGCUUACAGACAGCAGAG